UGCAGUCUUGCACAUGUGCCC
This 21-nucleotide non-coding RNA is filed under the name Mus musculus (house mouse). Lineage: Eukaryota; Metazoa; Chordata; Mammalia; Rodentia; Muridae. The record is from RNAcentral.